AGGGCCCUACGGGAGGCAGCAGUGGGGAAUAUUGCACAAUGGGGGAAACCCUGAUGCAGCAACGCCGCGUGAAGGAAGACGGUUUUCGGAUUGUAAACUUCUGUUCUUAGUGAAGAUAAUGACGGUAGCAGAGGAGGAAGCUCCGGCUAACUACGUGCCAGCAGCCGCGGUAAUACGUAGGGAGCGAGCGUUGUCCGGAUUUACUGGGUGUAAAGGGUGCGUAGGCGGGUAAGCAAGUCAGAAGUGAAAUCCAUGGGCUUAACCCAUGAACUGCUUUUGAAACUGUUUAUCUUGAGUGAAGUAGG
Molecule: ribosomal RNA, 305 nt
Filed under: uncultured bacterium
Lineage: Bacteria
Description: bacterial SSU rRNA
Rfam family: Bacterial small subunit ribosomal RNA
Source: RNAcentral